Molecule: ribosomal RNA, 818 nt
Filed under: Panjange sp. Ind103
Lineage: Eukaryota; Metazoa; Arthropoda; Arachnida; Araneae; Pholcidae
Description: partial 28S ribosomal RNA
Rfam family: Eukaryotic large subunit ribosomal RNA
Source: RNAcentral
UGAGGGAAAGUUGCAAAGAACUUUGAAGAGAGAGUUCAAGAGUACGUGAAACUGCUCGGAGGGAAACGGGUGGAUCCUCGAAGUCCGAGCGGAGCGGGAUUCAGUGGCCGGCGGAGGGCGCCGUCGCGGUGCGCACCCUUCAGAGGGACGUUCCGCGGAGGCGUUCCCGUCGUCGGCCGCGCACUUCUCGCUCCCGACGGACGCCGCAGCCGGUCUGGCGUCGGCAGUGAGGACUGGUCGGGAGAUGGCGCGGGCGCGGGUCCAGCAUCCGCGUCCCGAUUCUGUACCGACCGCGUUCCCGGUGCGACGCCGGUCCGAGGGAAGGAGUCCGCUUCGGCGGACGCGCCGUGGCCUCGCUCGAGAGAGACUGAGCGGGGAGAGUGGUCCGGUCCGACCGGCCGAGCCGUCCACACGAGUCGUGGGCGGCCGGCGAAGGUGCUCCGGAAGGCCGCGACUAGACCCGCCGUUACGCGAGCACGCGGCUUGCGGCGAGUAGGUCGGUAACCCACCCGACCCGUCUUGAAACACGGACCAAGGAGUCUAACUUGUGCGCGAGUCAGUGGGACUCGGAUAAGCCCACGGGCGUUAAUGAAAGUGAAGUGACGUCAGUCUGUCGCGAUCUUGUAACGAUCCCAGGAUCGGGGCGCAGCGGCGACCCGACGGAAACACGGGUAAACGUUGUUUACCGCUGUCGGCGUCUGAGCGUACAGGUUGGGACCCGAAAGAUGGUGAACUAUGCCCGGGCAGGUCGAAGCUAGAGGAAACUCUGGUGGAGGACCGCAGCGGUUCUGACGUGCAAAUCGAUCGUCGAACCUAGG